RNAcentral lists this ribosomal RNA (486 nucleotides) under uncultured bacterium. RNAcentral describes it as "bacterial SSU rRNA". It matches the Rfam family "Bacterial small subunit ribosomal RNA", at positions 21 to 507 of the family's 1533-position model. The record is from RNAcentral.
GGCUCAGGAUGAACGCUGGCGGCGUGCUUAACACAUGCAAGUCGAACGAAGCGCUUUACCUGAUCCCUUCGGGGUGAUUGUUCUGUGACUGAGUGGCGGACGGGUGAGUAACGCGUGGGUAACCUGCCUCAUACAGGGGGAUAACAGUUGGAAACGACUGCUAAUACCGCAUAAUGCAUUUGAGUCGCAUGGCUCUGAAUGCCAAAGAUUUAUCGCUCUGAGAUGGACUCGCGUCUGAUUAGCUAGUUGGUGGGUAACGGCCCACCAAGGCGACGAUCAGUAGCCGGACUGAGAGGUUGGCCGGCCACAUUGGGACUGAGACACGGCCCAGACUCCUACGGGAGGCAGCAGUGGGGAAUAUUGGGCAAUGGGCGCAAGCCUGACCCAGCAACGCCGUGUGAAGGAAGAAGGUCUUCGGAUCGUAAACUUCUGUCCUUAGGGAAGAUAAUGACGGUACCUUUGGAGGAAGCCCCGGCUAACUACGUG